This is an RNA transcript of Myotis brandtii (Brandt's bat), 3115 nucleotides long. It is a transcript of the gene named nuclear VCP-like, with no coding region annotated. The record is from RefSeq and is a predicted model, not a curated record. The transcript has 25 exons. Lineage: Eukaryota; Metazoa; Chordata; Mammalia; Chiroptera; Vespertilionidae.
GAAGCUAGGACCCUCCCCACUUACCUCACCAGUAGCAGAUGUGGCAAAUAUGUGGACACUGGAAUCAUGGCAUCUGAUCUACAAAGAAUGUACAGCAUAGACUACGGUCGAAGAAAAAGAAAUGCUUUUAGGAUUCAGGUAGAAAAAGUAUUUAGCAUAAUUAAUAGUGAGAAGGAACUUAAGAAUCUAACAGAAUUAGAAGAUGAACAUCUGGCAAAAAGAGCAAGACAAGGUGAAGAGGAUAAUGAGUAUACUGAAAGCUAUUCGGAUGACGAUUCAAAUAUGGAAGAUUACCCAGAUCCACAGUUGGCAAAUCACAUGAACUCUUCCCUGCUCUCCUUAUAUCGGAAAGGAAACCCUGAUUCUGUUGCCACUACUCCCGAGAGGGAGCAAAGAGAAACCAGCGGUUCAGCACCACCAACAGCUUCCAAAACUGGCUCCAUUCCGUUGAAGACCCCUGCCAGAGGCUCUGAAGGAGGAUGGUUCAUUGACAAAACUCCAGGUGGAAAGAAAGACAGUUUUUUCUUGGACCUAUCAGAGGAGACAAGUAAUAAGAAGCCAUUAUCUGAGAUAGAGGAUUCCAAAGGGUCGUCUCUUCUGGAGAGUAACAAGAAAAGGAAAGGCAGGUUAAAGAGCAGAGGAAGCAAAAGGAAGAAAGAAGAUCUUCAGGAAGUAGAUGGAGAAAUAGAAGCCGUCCUGCAAAAGAAAGCUCAAGCCAGGGGCCUAGACUUCCAGACCUCCAGCGUGAAGUUUGAAGAUGUGGGAGGCAAUGACGUAACACUAAAGGAAGUCUGCAAGAUGCUCAUACACAUGCGUCACCCGGAGGUGUACCAGCACCUGGGCGUCACACCCCCCCGUGGAGUUCUCCUUCACGGACCGCCAGGCUGCGGGAAGACGUUACUUGCACAUGCAAUUGCUGGGGAACUUGACCUUCCAAUUCUCAAAGUAGCUGCUACAGAGAUUGUGUCUGGAGUAUCUGGAGAAUCUGAACAGAAGCUGAGAGAACUGUUUGAACAAGCUGUGUCAAAUGCUCCCUGUAUCCUUUUUAUUGAUGAAAUUGAUGCCAUUACCCCCAAAAGAGAAGUUGCUUCAAAAGAUAUGGAACGAAGAAUUGUAGCCCAGCUCCUAACCUGCAUGGAUGAUCUGAAUAAUGUGGCUGCUACAGCUCAGGUCCUAGUCAUUGGAGCUACUAACCGGCCAGACGCGUUAGACCCUGCUUUGAGACGCGCAGGAAGGUUCGACCAGGAAAUAUGCCUUGGUAUCCCCGAUGAAGCAUCCAGGGAAAGAAUACUUCAAACGCUGUGCAGAAAACUAAGACUUCCGGAAACGUUCCAUUUUCGUCACUUAGCACACCUCACGCCAGGCUUUGUUGGUGCAGAUCUGAUGGCACUCUGCCGGGAGGCAGCCAUGCGUGCAGUCAGCAGGGUCUUAAUGCGGCUGCAGGAUGCACAGAAGAAAGAGCCUGAGACAGAAGGUUUUCCACGUGAAGGAGGCCAGGGAGAAAGGAUGGGAACUGAGCCCACUUACACAACACAGGUGCUUUCUAGACAGGAUGAAUUGCAGAGUCUGCUGAGGUUGCUAAGAAACCAGGAUCCCCUCUCGGAGGAGCAGCUGCAAGGACUGUGCAUUGAGUUGAAUGACUUCAUUGUUGCUCUGUCCUCAGUCCAGCCCUCUGCCAAAAGGGAAGGCUUUGUCACGGUCCCCAACGUGACAUGGGCAGAUGUUGGUGCCCUGGAAGACAUUCGAGAGGAGCUCACCAUGGCAAUAUUGGCACCAGUACGUAACCCAGAUCAGUUCCAAGCUCUCGGAUUGGUGACUCCGGCCGGAGUCCUCCUCGCUGGUCCUCCCGGCUGUGGGAAAACGCUGCUGGCGAAGGCUGUUGCAAAUGAGUCUGGACUAAAUUUUAUAUCUGUCAAGGGCCCAGAAUUACUAAAUAUGUACGUCGGUGAAAGCGAGCGUGCUGUGCGGCAGGUUUUUCAACGAGCCAAGAACUCGGCGCCCUGUGUGAUCUUCUUUGAUGAAGUGGAUGCCUUAUGCCCUCGAAGAUCAGACCGAGAGACAGGGGCAAGCGUCCGAGUGGUGAAUCAGCUCCUCACAGAGAUGGAUGGUCUGGAAACGCGUCAGCAGGUUUUCAUCAUGGCAGCCACUAACAGGCCAGAUAUCAUUGACCCUGCGAUCCUGCGCCCUGGCCGCCUGGACAAAACCCUCUUCGUGGGCUUGCCGCCCCCCGCAGAUCGUCUCGCCAUCUUAAAAACCAUCACAAAAAAUGGCACCAAACCCCCACUGGACACAGAUGUCAACCUGGAAGCGAUUGCUGGUGACCAGCGCUGCGAUUGCUAUUCGGGCGCGGAUCUCUCUGCUUUGGUGCGGGAAGCUUCUGUCUGUGCCCUGAGACAGGAAAUGGCAAGACAGAACAGUGGACAUGAAAAAGGUGAACUCAAGAUUAGUCAGAAGCACUUUGAAGAAGCUUUCAAGAAAGUGAAAUCAUCUAUAUCAAAAAAGGACCGGCUGAUGUAUGAGGCUCUGAAGCAGUCCCUUGGCCAGUGACUUCCCAGCAGAGGCCAUGGAGGAGUCCAGUGCGCCGGCCUGGCGAGAAGCCCAGCGCUCCGAGCGGGCGCCUGCAGCUCCACAGAGGUGGCCUCACACAGGCAAACCUGCGCUCCCACGCUGCUGACCAGCUCGCUGUGCGCCUGGCUGCUGAGAGACUUUCCCAACGAGACAAGGAACAAGGCAUCACCUUGUUCGGACAAAGACCUUCCAGGGCUCCCACAGCGUCCAGUCCCUGGCAGUGAGUGGUGUGUGCCCUCAGGCUAAUUUCUGCAAAAUGCCUCCUUUCUUCAUGGAGGUGUCUCCCUCACCAGGCCAGCGUGGAUUACAGUGACAGUGUGCACAUACGUCCUGUCUACAAUGGCAGCUGUGCGCCCUCCACAGCUCCAGCCUCGUCGAGACUCUCCUGUCUUAGGCGUUGAUUCUUCAUUACUGAACUCCGAUUCCACGCAUAUCCCAGCACCAGAACAUCAGCUCCUGAAUUUGGGACGUUUUAUCUUUGUAUCCUCACUGCCUAAGGCGAUGCCUGACCAAGUGCCUGUAGAGUGAAUGAAUGAAUGAAUGAAUG